AUGAUCAUGUAUCCAGAAUAUAACAAUACCUCUUCUGAAAACUCGAAGACAAAUUCAAUCUUUGCAAUGUGUGAAGUUCCAUCACCAGCGCUCACAACAUAUAUCCAAGGAAUUACAGGCACCUUUCUGCUUCCCUACAUGGUCGUUGGCCUUCCAGCCAACCUAUGGGUGAUGUGGCUUAUCACUCACGGAACAAAAGAUUCAUUGGCGUCUGAGCUUUUCCAUCUAAAUAUGGCAAUAUGUGAGACCAUUUUCCUGUUGGGGAGUCCUUUACAGUUCUACUGCUUGUUUGACCAUGCUGGUGAUGGCCCGGUUGUUAAUUUCCUGAUCAUGGAACUUAGGGUGUUAAUAAGCUUUGGCCGUCUCCUGUUCCAGUGCUCCAUCUGUGUGGAGCGCUACCUGGCUGUCGUUCACCCUUUGACCUUCAUCAGGUUCAAGCCCCUGAGAUUCAGAGUAGUCUGCAGUGGUGUGAUGUGGUUCACAAUAUCGUUCAACUUGUCGAGCAUUUGGACAGCUGAUCCUAGAGAUCUUCUCAUUAUAGCACUAGUUUUUUUCACGACACUGCCUGUAAUUGUUUUCUGUUGUUUGUCAGUUCUCUGGUCCCUGAAGCAGCCAGGGCCAGUAGAGACAGAGAGGACAGGGGGUAACAACAUAAAGAGAAGAGCCUUCAACAUCAUUUCAUUGAAUCUGGGGAUUUUUCUGGUUACUUAUUUGCCCACAUUGGUGGUCUCGUCUUUGGAUAAGAUUUUGUCUUGGAAUAUAUCUUUUUAUCUGAUUUAUCCUGCCAUGUAUCUGACAACGUUGGGUGGGAUUGCCCAACCUUUACUUUAUCUACACAAGGCUGGGAAACUGCCUAGGAAAUGUUUUUUUACUGCAGUGAAACCAUAG
Molecule: long non-coding RNA, 888 nt
Filed under: Gadus morhua (Atlantic cod)
Lineage: Eukaryota; Metazoa; Chordata; Actinopteri; Gadiformes; Gadidae
Description: lncRNA (ENSGMOG00000031299.1)
Source: RNAcentral